Molecule: ribosomal RNA, 253 nt
Filed under: uncultured bacterium
Lineage: Bacteria
Description: partial 16S ribosomal RNA
Rfam family: Bacterial small subunit ribosomal RNA
Source: RNAcentral
UACGUAGGGUGCAAGCGUUGUCCGGAAUUAUUGGGCGUAAAGAGCUUGUAGGCGGUCUGUCGCGUCUGCUGUGAAAAUCCGGGGCUCAACCCCGGACUUGCAGUGGGUACGGGCAGACUAGAGUGUGGUAGGGGAGACUGGAAUUCCUGGUGUAGCGGUGAAACGCGUAGAUAUCUGGAGGAACACCGGUGGCGAAGGCGACAUCCUGGACCGGUAUUGACGCUGAGGCGCGAAAGCCAGGGGAGCAAACGGG